This 249-nucleotide ribosomal RNA is filed under the name Pseudomonas sp. Its description in RNAcentral is "partial 16S ribosomal RNA". It matches the Rfam family "Bacterial small subunit ribosomal RNA", at positions 115 to 367 of the family's 1533-position model. The record is from RNAcentral. Lineage: Bacteria; Pseudomonadati; Pseudomonadota; Gammaproteobacteria; Pseudomonadales; Pseudomonadaceae.
GCCUAGGAAUCUGCCUGGUAGUGGGGGAUAACGUUCGGAAACGGACGCUAAUACCGCAUACGUCCUACGGGAGAAAGCAGGGGACCUUCGGGCCUUGCGCUAUCAGAUGAGCCUAGGUCGGAUUAGCUAGUUGGUGAGGUAAUGGCUCACCAAGGCGACGAUCCGUAACUGGUCUGAGAGGAUGAUCAGUCACACUGGAACUGAGACACGGUCCAGACUCCUACGGGAGGCAGCAGUGGGGAAUAUUGG